AACGAACGCUGGCGGCAUGCCUAACACAUGCAAGUCGAACGAGACCUUCGGGUCUAGUGGCGCACGGGUGCGUAACGCGUGGGAACCUGCCCUUAGGUUCGGAAUAACUCCCCGAAAGGGGUGCUAAUACCGGAUAAUGUCUUCGGACCAAAGAUUUAUCGCCUUUGGAUGGGCCCGCGUUGGAUUAGCUAGUUGGUAGGGUAAAAGCCUACCAAGGCGACGAUCCAUAGCUGGUCUGAGAGGAUGAUCAGCCACACUGGAACUGAGACACGGCCCAGACUCCUACGGGAGGCAGCAGUGGGGAAUAUUGGACAAGGGGCGAAAGCCUGAUCAAGCAAUGCCGGGUGAGUGAUGAAGGCCUUAGGGUUGUAAAGCUCUUUUACCCGGGAUGAUAAUGACAGUACCGGGAGAAUAAGCACCGGCUAACUACGUG
RNAcentral lists this ribosomal RNA (433 nucleotides) under uncultured bacterium. Its description in RNAcentral is "partial 16S ribosomal RNA". It matches the Rfam family "Bacterial small subunit ribosomal RNA", at positions 29 to 507 of the family's 1533-position model. The record is from RNAcentral.